UCGAUUUGCUAGUAUCUUGUUGAGAAUUUUUGCAUCCAUGUUCAUCAGAGAUAUUGGUCUGUAAUUCUCCUUUUUAGUGGGGUCUUUGUUUGGUUUGGGAAUCAAGGUAAUGCUUGCUUCACAGAAUGAGUCUGGAAGCUUUCCUUCCAUUUCUACUUUUUGGAAUAGCUUGAGAAGAAUAGGUAUUAACUCUGCUUUAAAUGUCUGGUAGAAUUUCCCUGGAAAGCCAUUGGACUCAGGACUCUUAUUUGAUAACUGAUUCAGUUUCUUCACCAGAAAUGGGUCUGUUCAAAUUUUCUGUUUCUUCCCAUUUGAGUUUUGGUAGUGUGUGAGUUUCUAGGAAUUUGUCCAUUUCUUCCAGAUUGUCCAGUUUGUUGGCAUGUAUUUUUUCAUAGUGUUCUAGUAAUUGUAUUUCUGUGUUGUUGGUUGUGAUCUCUCCUCUUUCAUUCGUGAUUUUUUUUUUUUUAUUUAGGUCCUCUCUCUUUUCUUUUGAGAAGUCUGGGUAGGGGUUUAUCAAUUUUGUUUAUUCUUUCAAAAAACCAGCUCUUAGAUUCAUUUAUCUGUUCUACUGGAUUUUUUGUUUGUUUUGUUUUGUUCUUGUUUUCAUUUUUUUUAUUCUAUAUUCUUUAUUUCUAUUCUAAUUUUUAUUAUUUUUCUUCUGAUUUGGGCUUUCUUUGGUGCUGCCUUUCUAGCUCCUUUAGGUGUAAUGUUAGGGUUGUGUAUUUGGGACCUUUCUUGCAUCUCGGGAAAGUACUGAAUUGCAGUGUAUUUUCCUCUUAGGACUACCUUUGCUGCAUCCCAAAGAGUUUAGACUGUCAUAUUUUCAUUUUCAUCUACUUCCAUAUAUUUUUAAAGUUCUUCUUUAAUUUCGGGGUUGAGCCAUUCAUUCUUUAGUACGAUGUUCUUUAUCCUCCAUGUAUUUGUGGGCUUUCUAAACAUUUUUUUUUGUGGUUGAUUUCAUGUUUUAUAGCAUUGUGAUCUGAAAAUAUGCAUGGUAUGAUCUCAAUCUUGUUGAGGGCUGUUUUGUGACACAGUAUGUGUUCUAUUUUGAGAGUGUUCCAUAUGUGCUUGAGAAGAAUGUGUUCUUCUGCUUGAGGAUGAAAUGUUCUGGAUAUAUCUGUUAGUCCAUCUGGUCCAGUGUGUCAUCUGAGCCAUUGUUCCUUAUUGAUUUUCUGCCUAGAUGACCUGUCCAUUUCUGUAAAUCUGCUGGUCUUGUCCAGCAUUAAUCCAGAAGAAGGUAGAACACUGUUCCGCGGUGACAGACACAGUUACAGGUGGCGGCACCGACACGUGGAAUUAUAAAGACAGAAGAGAGCACGUUUAGUUACAGAAAUACAGAACACUUUUAGUACCUCAGAGGAAUCUCUCAUCUUUCCACUCAGUCAGUACUUUUAAAGGUAAGUGCUAUUCUAAUUUCUAUCAUCCUGACAUAAUUUUACUGUUUUUGAGCUUCGAUGUAGUAGAAGCAUACAGUAUUUACUCCUGUGUCUGAUUACUUUCUCUUGACAACAUACUUUAUCUAUGAAAUUCAUCCUUGUUAUUGCAAAAAGUAAUUUUUUGUUGUUCAAUUUAUUUUUCAUUUCAGUAUAGUAUUCCAUUAUAGAAAUAUACUAUGACUUAUUUAUUCAUUCUACUAUCUUUGGAUAUUUGUAUUGUUUCCAGUUUUUGUUAUUAUA
Long non-coding RNA from Acinonyx jubatus (cheetah), 1676 nucleotides. RefSeq lists it as uncharacterized. The record is from RefSeq and is a predicted model, not a curated record. NCBI's taxonomy places the organism in Eukaryota, Metazoa, Chordata, Mammalia, Carnivora, Felidae. The transcript has 3 exons.